CCUACGGGUGGCAGCAGUGAGGAAUAUUGGUCAAUGGGCGCGAGCCUGAACCAGCCAAGUCGCGUGAGGGAAGACGGUCCUAUGGAUUGUAAACCUCUUUUGUCGGGGAGCAAAAGACGCCACGCGUGGCGUUCCGAGAGUACCCGAAGAAAACGCCUCGGCUAACUCCGUGCCAGCAGCCGAGGUAAUACUGAGGAUGCGAGCGUUAUCCGGAUUUAUUGGGUUUAAAGGGUGCGCAGGCGGAAGAUCAAGUCAGCGGUAAAAUUGAGAGGCUCAACCUCUUCGAGCCGUUGAAACUGGUGUUCUUGAGUGAGUGAGAAGUAUGCGGAAUGCGUGGUGUAGAGGUGAAAUGCAUAGAUAUCACGCAGAACUCAGAUUGCGAAGGCAGCAUACCGGCGCUCAACUGACGCUCAUGCACGAAAGUGUGGGUAUCGAACAGGAGUAGAGACCCUGGUAGUC
RNAcentral lists this ribosomal RNA (459 nucleotides) under uncultured bacterium. RNAcentral describes it as "partial 16S ribosomal RNA". It matches the Rfam family "Bacterial small subunit ribosomal RNA", at positions 338 to 795 of the family's 1533-position model. The record is from RNAcentral.